Molecule: unclassified non-coding RNA, 266 nt
Filed under: Hevea brasiliensis (rubber tree)
Lineage: Eukaryota; Viridiplantae; Streptophyta; Magnoliopsida; Malpighiales; Euphorbiaceae
Source: RNAcentral
AGAUCAUACACAAAGAAGGCUGAGGGUUAGCAGAGAAACAUGGAAUCUGGAAAGAAGAGUACUCUGGCUCUGCUACCACUCUUCCUUUCUUUCCUGUUUUACUUUGAUUUCUCAAAAAAGCUUCCCUCAAGUGACUGCAGCCUUCUGCCUCAUAAUCACUAUUGGAUAUCCAGCAAACGUAUUGUGACUCCAAACGGGACAAUUUCCGGUGCAGUUGAGAUAAAGGAAGGAAGAAUUAUAUCUGUUGUUGCUGAAGAGAAUUGGCA